This 301-nucleotide ribosomal RNA is filed under the name uncultured bacterium. RNAcentral describes it as "partial 16S ribosomal RNA". It matches the Rfam family "Bacterial small subunit ribosomal RNA", at positions 509 to 807 of the family's 1533-position model. The record is from RNAcentral.
CAGUAGCCACGGUAAUACGUAGGGUGCAAGCGUUAAUCGGAAUUACUGGGCGUAAAGCGUGCGCAGGCGGUUAUAUAAGUCAGAUGUGAAAUCCCCGGGCUCAACCUGGGAACUGCAUUUGAGACUGUAUGGCUAGAGUGUGUCAGAGGGGGGUAGAAUUCCACGUGUAGCAGUGAAAUGCGUAGAUAUGUGGAGGAAUACCGAUGGCGAAGGCAGCCCCCUGGGAUAACACUGACGCUCAUGCACGAAAGCGUAGGGAGCAAACAGGAUUAGAUACCCCUGUAGUCCCUGUCUCUUAUAC